CGAAACUGGUGUCGACCGACA
This 21-nucleotide microRNA is filed under the name Arabidopsis thaliana (thale cress). Its description in RNAcentral is "ath-miR401". Its record names the gene ath-miR401. The record is from miRBase by way of RNAcentral. Lineage: Eukaryota; Viridiplantae; Streptophyta; Magnoliopsida; Brassicales; Brassicaceae.